RNAcentral lists this ribosomal RNA (429 nucleotides) under Pseudomonadota bacterium. Its description in RNAcentral is "Proteobacteria bacterium partial 16S ribosomal RNA". It matches the Rfam family "Bacterial small subunit ribosomal RNA", at positions 355 to 776 of the family's 1533-position model. Lineage: Bacteria; Pseudomonadati; Pseudomonadota. The record is from RNAcentral.
UGGGGAAUAUUGGACAAUGGGGGGAACCCUGAUCCAGCCAUGCCGCGUGUGUGAAGAAGGUCUUCGGAUUGUAAAGCACUUUAAGUUGGGAGGAAGGGCAGUAAGCGAAUACCUUGCUGUUUUGACGUUACCGACAGAAUAAGCACCGGCUAACUCUGUGCCAGCAGCCGCGGUAAUACAGAGGGUGCAAGCGUUAAUCGGAAUUACUGGGCGUAAAGCGCGCGUAGGCGGCUAAUUGAGUCGGAUGUGAAAUCCCCGAGCUUAACUUGGGAAUUGCAUUCGAUACUGGUUAGCUAGAGUGUGGGAGAGGAUGGUAGAAUUCCAGGUGUAGCGGUGAAAUGCGUAGAGAUCUGGAGGAAUACCGAUGGCGAAGGCAGCCAUCUGGCCUAACACUGACGCUGAGGUACGAAAGCAUGGGGAGCAAACAGG